AUGUCAAUGUGUAGAGAAGUUCUCUCCAGAUUGGGGUGCUGGAUACGAGGCAGCAACAGUUGGAGAUGCCCAGGUUUGAAGGUGACACAUUUAACAGCAGGUCAGGAUGAUCUCAGUGGGUUUUGCACACAGAUUGGAUUGCUGCCCACCAAAAAAGCAACUAAAAAACCACCAAAAACCAUUUUUCACCCCCCAAACUAUAAAUCACAUUUGCAAAAAUGAAGCAGCCUUUCAGAGCAGAAAAGGAGACUUCCUCUCGGGCAGUUGCACUUUGUGUUUCCAAUCUUAUCAGUGACACUUUCUCACAGGCAGCUUCAGUUCCACUCAGCUAUCGUUUUCAUUCGCAAAACAAACUGCGCUGCAAAACUACGACUCGCAUUCUACAUGUGUAGCACCUCGUGAACUCUAUUAAAUCCAGCAGGAAUUGCUGCACAGAGUUUUUGUGCAGGCCUGCUUUUCUCAGUCUCUAGCUCUGUCUGCAGCCGCUGAACUGUGAGUUCCUGACCCUUCUUUAAAAACCCUAUAGGAAGAGUAAUACACCUACAGUCAUACGUAGCAACUUCAUAAAGACAGAGAAGGGGGGGGGGGGGGGGGGAAAGGGGGAGAAUGAUUUUAAAACAUCCUUAGUUUGCAAAAGAAAACCAACACUGUUAAUGGGACAGAUCCUCCUCGCGUACGCAGAUUCCUUCGCAGUGAUUGGGAGCGUGAAACUUACACCCCCUCCAAUGCUUUUCUACAUGGCCGAAGUGGUGUAAAACAGCUCAAGUCAAAUGACAAUUAAGCUUAUUACUUAAGACAGCCUUCUUACUUUUUUUUUGCCAUUCUCCUCCCCCCUUUUCUACCCCCCCAACCUUCCUUAAACCGCUUGCCCUUGACCACUGGGCAGAAAGAAGGAGGGGGGUGAGAGGAGGAGGAGGAGGAGAGACUCCUUAAGACAAUUUUGAAACAGUCCAGUACUUUCCUGAUCGCUCCGCAAAGUUGAAAUAUGAUUUCAACCUUUUUUUUUUUUUUUUUUUUUGCAUACAGAAAGAACCCAUUUAAAUGAAAAAUUAGCUGCCUUAACAGGUCAAGCACACAGUUACAUUAAUGUUGUGUAGAACAAUAAAUCAACUUCGAUCUCCA
RNAcentral lists this long non-coding RNA (1122 nucleotides) under Coturnix japonica (Japanese quail). Its description in RNAcentral is "lncRNA (ENSCJPG00005008477.1)". Lineage: Eukaryota; Metazoa; Chordata; Aves; Galliformes; Phasianidae. The record is from RNAcentral.